CGUGGACCCGUGAUCCGGGUUGCGGACAGUGUCUGGUGGGUAGUUUGACUGGGGCGGUCUCCUCCUAAAGAGUAACGGAGGAGCACGAAGGUUGGCUAAUCCUGGUCGGACAUCAGGAGGUUAGUGCAAUGGCAUAAGCCAGCUUGACUGCGAGCGUGACGGCGCGAGCAGGUGCGAAAGCAGGUCAUAGUGAUCCGGUGGUUCUGAAUGGAAGGGCCAUCGCUCAACGGAUAAAAGGUACUCCGGGGAUAACAGGCUGAUACCGCCCAAGAGUUCAUAUCGACGGCGGUGUUUGGCACCUCGAUGUCGGCUCAUCACAUCCUGGGGCUGAAGUAGGUCCCAAGGGUAUGGCUGUUCGCCAUUUAAAGUGGUACGCGAGCUGGGUUUAGAACGUCGUGAGACAGUUCGGUCCCUAUCUGCCGUGGGCGCUGGAGAACUGAGGGGGGCUGCUCCUAGUACGAGAGGACCGGAGUGGACGCAUCACUGGUGUUCGGGUUGUCAUGCCAAUGGCACUGCCCGGUAGCUAAAUGCGGAAGAGA
RNAcentral lists this ribosomal RNA (539 nucleotides) under Salmonella enterica. RNAcentral describes it as "partial 23S ribosomal RNA". It matches the Rfam family "Bacterial large subunit ribosomal RNA", at positions 2226 to 2764 of the family's 2925-position model. Lineage: Bacteria; Pseudomonadati; Pseudomonadota; Gammaproteobacteria; Enterobacterales; Enterobacteriaceae. The record is from RNAcentral.